Molecule: ribosomal RNA, 575 nt
Filed under: uncultured Bacteroidota bacterium
Lineage: Bacteria; Pseudomonadati; Bacteroidota
Description: bacterial SSU rRNA
Rfam family: Bacterial small subunit ribosomal RNA
Source: RNAcentral
GCUAGCGGCAGGCCUAAUACAUGCAAGUCGAGGGGUAUAUGAGUGCUUGCACUUAUAGAGACCGGCGAACGGGUGCGUAACACGUAUGCAACCUACCUUCAACAGAGGAAUAGCCCGAAGAAAUUCGGAUUAAUGCCUCAUAACAUUGCGACAUGGCAUCAUGAUGCAAUUAAAGCUCCGGCGGUUGAAGAUGGGCAUGCGGUCCAUUAGUUAGUUGGUGAGGUAACGGCUCACCAAGGCCACGAUGGAUAGGGGGUCUGAGAGGAUGAUCCCCCACACUGGUACUGAGACACGGACCAGACUCCUACGGGAGGCAGCAGUAGGGAAUAUUGGACAAUGGGCGAAAGCCUGAUCCAGCCAUGCCGCGUGCAGGAUGACUGCCCUAUGGGUUGUAAACUGCUUUUAUAUGGAAAGAAACACUCCCACGUGUGGGAGCUUGACGGUACCAUAUGAAUAGGGAUCGGCUAACUCCGUGCCAGCAGCCCGCGGUAAUACGGAGGAUCCAAGCGUUGUCCGGAUUUAUUGGGUUUAAAGGGUGCGUAGGCGGAUUAAUAAGUGAGUGGUGAAAGCCUGUA